UGUAUUAAUUUAGGAGGUCUGGUCCGUGGUCUUUAUUAGUUUAGAAGGUCUGGUCUGGGGUCUGCAUUAGUUUAGAAGGUCUGGUCUGGGACCUGUAUUAGUUUAGGAGGUCUGGUCUGGGGCCUGUAUUAGUUUAGGUGGUCUGGUCUGGAGCCUGUAUUAGUUUUAGUUUAGAAGGUAUGGUCUGGGGCCUGUAUUAGUUUAGGAGGUGAGGUCUGGUCUGGGGUCUGUAUUAGUUUAGAAGUUCUGGUCUGGGGCCUGUAUUAGUUUAGGAGGUCUGCUCUGUGGUUUGUAUUAGUUUAGGAGGUCUGGUCUGGGGUAUGUAUUCGUUUAGGUGGUCUGGUCUGGGGCCUGUAUUAGUUUAGGAGGUCU
Molecule: long non-coding RNA, 372 nt
Organism: Bufo bufo (common toad)
Lineage: Eukaryota; Metazoa; Chordata; Amphibia; Anura; Bufonidae
Exons: 3
Source: RefSeq, a predicted model, not a curated record